GGGCCCAUAGCUCAGCUGGUAGAGCACCGUGCUGAUAACGCGGGGGUGAGAGGUUCAAGUCCUCUUGGGCCCA
This 73-nucleotide transfer RNA is filed under the name Candidatus Velamenicoccus archaeovorus. RNAcentral describes it as "Velamenicoccus archaeovorus tRNA". It matches the Rfam family "tRNA". Rfam says of the family: Transfer RNA (tRNA) molecules are approximately 80 nucleotides in length. Their secondary structure includes four short double-helical elements and three loops (D, anti-codon, and T loops). The record is from Rfam by way of RNAcentral. RNAcentral also lists the same sequence under 1 other name. Lineage: Bacteria; Pseudomonadati; Candidatus Omnitrophota.